Molecule: ribosomal RNA, 253 nt
Filed under: uncultured bacterium
Lineage: Bacteria
Description: partial 16S ribosomal RNA
Rfam family: Bacterial small subunit ribosomal RNA
Source: RNAcentral
UACGUAGGUGACCAGCGUUGUCCGGAUUUACUGGGCGUAAAGAGCGCGCAGGCGGUCGUUCAAGUCGAGUGUGAAAGCCCCCGGCUCAACUGGGGAGGGUCACUCGAUACUGAUCGACUUGAAGGCAGGAGAGGGAAGCGGAAUUCCCGGUGUAGUGGUGAAAUGCGUAGAUAUCGGGAGGAACACCAGCGGCGAAGGCGGCUUCCUGGCCUGUUCUUGACGCUGAGGCGCGAAAGCUAGGGGAGCAAACGGG